AUUGAGGGGGAAAAAAAAAAAAAAAAAGACAAAUCAAUAGCAGUGAAACAGAGACAUAACCAUUUCACAUCGAGCGCUCCCAAUACCAAGCCAAGACACCAGAACUCCCCGCUGCGGACCACGGCUUCCCCCUUCCAAACACGCAUGUUCCUGCCACGGCAAGUGAAGCCCAGGUGACAGCGAAACACCCAGGACUGACAGGGCGGGGAGGAGGAUGGAGCACCUGGAAGUACAAAAGGUCCUGGCAAAGUAGAGCAUCAGUUUAAGAAGGGGAGUAAAGAAAAUUUCCUAUAAAAUCAAGAAUGUUUCUUACGGAGACUCCUGGUCCAGCCUCUGAGCUGCUUCUCCAACAUAUGAAGUAUUUCUUGGUCUUUCAUCCGCACUGAGAAGAUUUCAUUGUAAUGUUAAGAAGGUAGCAGUAACCUUGGACAGCUCUAUUUCUGUCCCAUUUUCUAAGGACACAAGAUUUAGUUAAGGCUGGGCUAUUACUCCGAAACCUGCAGUAACAGGAUUGUUACACAGCCACAGUGGUGUGUAAUCUACUCUGCACAGGAUUAAAGGGAAAAUCUGCAUCAGCCCUUUCUCCCAGAUCAGGAGAACUACUUUGUGAGUCACAUGGAGAGCUGGCACAGCAGUAAACAUAAAGGUAAGUUUUAGCUGGGUACACUGGCACAUGCACUGGGACAUGUGUCUCUGCUUGACUCCAUUUACCUGUCCCUCAUUAACAGCACUUGAUUCCAACUUGCAAUUCUACUGAAUAUUCUGCUGAAGGCUAAAAAUCUCACAGGAAGUGUAUUUAUGUGAGUUUUAAAAAAAUGGCCAGGUUGGCUGAAGAGAAACCUCUGAUUACCUCUGAGACUACCUCUGAGCAGAAAUUCAAGGACUGACAGCAUCAGAGACCUACAACCUUAUUAGACUCAUGAGCCUAAUAACGUCUCCUGAGCCAGAAUGCCAAAUUCCCUUCCUCAUGAAGGAGGGAAUUGCACUUGGUGGCUGAACAGCAGCCUUGGAGGACAGAGGCAAAAGGCUGUAACACCUUCUUAAAUCUGUAUCUCACGGACUGUAGCAAACAUGAAGAUUUUUAGUGAAUGCAGUCCUGGUAGCUACCUGUCUCCACCAGGAGAGGUGCAGAGGGUGGCAGAAGCAUAAAGUGAGUUCUACAGAGGAUUAACCACUUCUCUGGAAAAGAGAUGAUGGGGUUAAAAAACACAGCAGACAAAUUUCCAGGUGGAAAAUUAAUGGAAGGCUUUUAAACCAAAGGAGCACCUGGAAAUAUCAGAGUUGCAGAUUGCUGGAUACUUGGAAAGUAUUCCCUGAAAAUAUUACAUUCUUGCUUUGCUUACCCUUAUGUUCUUUUCCAGUUACUUCUCAGAUGUGCUUGGUCCCCACACUGGCUCCCACAGCUCCUUGGUGUGGCCACUGUCACAUCCUGCAGUGAGCUGGGGGCAUGGGAAGACAGCCUUACAGUGGACAAAGAGCAGCUGCCUGGUCCCCUAUGUUUCUUGGCAGAAGCUUUGUCAUUCCUGUUUGCUGUCAUCCCAGUUUACUGUCACCCAUAAUCAGGGAUACAGUAUUCAUUGUCAUACUGUAAUCAGGGAUAAAAUAUGUAAGGAUAGAGAUCUCCUUGUUGUUUCUAGUCACUGAAUCAUAAUCAGCGUUCAGAAAUUGCUCACACAUUUUUUUCCACCCUAAUGUGGCUUUUUAUAGCAUAUUCCAUACAACUGAUGUAAAUCAAUGCACGUUCUGCUUGUGUAUGGAUCCUUGAAUGCCAGGCAAACCCUCAGAUGUCCAACUUACCCACCUCCUGCUAGUGGAAGGGCACUUUAUCAACCCACUACCAUGGGAGAAAUCAGCAGGCACUUGGAACAUUUUCAAGCUCUUCAUUCAAGCAUGCUUCCCAUGGCUGAGACGCCCCGGUCGCUUCCCUCGCCUCUUCGGUAGCAAAGCUUCAUUGCUUGUUUUCAGAUCAGCCCAGCUUGUUUUGAAAAGCCUGACCCUACAUUUCCCCCACCAGCUAGAGGCAAUGUCCCCUGCUAGGACAGGUUGUCACAUAUCCAAGAUCUUGAAUGUCUGUUCCUGUUCUUGCCCUUUUUUUCCUACUUUUCCCUGUUUUUCCUUGAUUUAAACUCAAAGAAAAACCUCAGGGAGAGUUUAUGAAGGAAAAAAAUUCUACUGUUUUUGGGGGGUGAUUGGUUUUUCUUCAUGUUUUCAUAUUAUAGUUUUGAAAAAGGGAACAACACACACAGUUUAAAAAUUACUCUUUCCUCAGUAUAACUUUGUUUCCAGAGCCAUCAAAGGAUCCUUAGAGUAAACAAGGUAUGUGUGUGUGGGUAUUAUUCUAUAUUUUUCAUCUUCUGUCGGGUAAAACUGCAUGUGCCUUUGAAGGAUAAAGUUAAAUAUUUACCCUAGGUCAACCAUCCCUGUCUGUAGAGUUUAUAUUUUGUUGGAGUUUGGGCAAGCAAGUGGUAUUUACAAAAUUCUUUGCCUGCCUCUGCUAUUAGAAAAUGCAUUUACAGACGAUGAAUUUUUUCCUACUCAGAAUAUUUUUGAUCAGGUGUGAGCACUUACCCAGCCUGGAGAAAUGCUGAAUCAACAUGUGACACUGUGGUAGGAUUGUGUUUAGGACUGCGUUAUUUCAGUUGCUGGCCAGGAACCUAAAUGAAGCAGGACCAGAGCAAUAUUCUAUAGUUCUGUCAUCAGAGGAGGCCAGGGGGGUUCUUUCUGUGGUUUCAGAUGUCUUGAAAUGUGGCUUGUUCUGGUAAAUCCAGGUACCUAUGCAUGGGUGGCUGGUCCUGCAUCCAGCUUGCAAUGAGGUGAGCAGGCCAGAGGCAUUGGGAAGAGCCGAGGAACACAUCUCAUGUUCCUCCCAGAUGCAGGCAGAGAGGAUUCCUGCAACGGGGCUGGAGUCGGUCCAAAUUGCUUGGCAUCCCAGGCCCAACAAAAUCUUCUUGCCAAACUAAAGUCUGCAUACCAAGAAAGUGCUCUAGGCCUUCCUGCCUCAGCUCAUGUGCUGUGGCUCUUCUGAGGACUUAAUUUUUCUCAGUAGAAAACAAGAUCUCUCCCAUGUGCUCUUCGUGAAUCCUCCUCAGAAAAAGGCCACAUUGUAAUAUAGCCCCUUAGGACACUGCAGGCUGCCCAGCACAUCUCCUUUGGGAAGUUUGGGAGCACCUUUAUUCAGGCUUCUCUUGAAAACCACGGCUAUAAAAUACAACCCCUUCCUGCCCUCUUCCCUUUCAUCUUGUUCCCUCCUCCCCACCAUGCCUUUGAGGCAUCAGUCUUCAAACUACUUCAAAUCAAAGCAGUUGCAGGAGAUGACUGAUGGAUGAUUUAUCUGGAAUCCUGCUGAUGUUUCUCUUGGGUCUCCCAAGAACAGAGAGCAAACAGCAGCCAGACCCAAGGAAAAAGCUGCAGAUGACCUUGCCAGUCUUGGGAAGAGGGAAAUAGCAGCAGGAAGAUGGGGAAAGCGGAGGUGGCACAAUGAGUGUUCUCUGCACUCCUGCUGCUAUGCAGGUUUGUAGGAAAUGUGGCCUGAGGGCUACUCUAACCUGUGCCAGCUGCUGAGACUUGUGUGUAUCAGGCAUGAGACUCGGGGAGCUGCAAACAGCUCUUUGAAGGCCUUCCUCUCCUCCCCUAGCAAAGAAAUUAAAAUCUAAUUUCUUCCAGUCUUUGUGCUGACCUUUUGCAGGUGUGAAAAACAAUCACCUCUGUUUCCUAGGGGCAUUAGAAUCCUACAUUUUCAGUGUGUUAUUAUAAGCAUCCAUCUGCACUGAUGUGCAGAUGAAACAUAGAAGAGAAGGACCUGGUUCUCUUACAGCCAUUAAGAUUUUUUCAUUCCUUCCACUGAGGCCAGCAUUGCAAAUACCUAUCAUCAAAAACUGGUAUCAAAUUGAAUUUGACUCGAAAACAGCAUGACAUGUUCCUUCUGGGCCAGUGGUGAAAACUAUAUUGGCUGUUUUUUCACUGAAAGCAAAAGGAUUAAAAAAAAAUUUAAAAUUAACUGGAUUUUUUUUCUCGUUGUUUUGUUGUUGCUGUUGCCUGUUCAUGAUCCCUCUGCUGAUUUCUGGAGGAAGCACUCUAACCCUAUGCAGAUGAAAGCCAUUUAAGCCAAAAAAAGAAUCUUCAGGUUCCAAUAGGGAAAGUCAAAAUCCCUAAUUUAGAAGCACCAGCAGGGUGGACAUUGGAAACAUGCAGAUUCACUCACUGGAAAGCUCCCAAGAUCUACAAGCGCUGAAAUGAAAACAUGACACAAUGGCUCAGUCAACAAUUACUACUGAAUAAGCCAGCGGGCUUCAGGGUUAAUCACUGCAGCCAUCCAUGAACUCUCACAGGGUGGAAAACCAGUUAGCUUUGCCUACAACAUCUUUGGGAUCAUGUCCAUUUGUAUGGUGGGAAGUUCAUGUGGUCUGUUGUCUUCUCAUUGGAAAAAGCAUUGUCAUCUGGAGAUAUGUCAAGAGAGGAAGGAUAACUGUUUGGAUCAAACAAUCAAGAGAGGAAAAAAAGGAAGGGGAAAUGAGGGGGAAUUCUAAUGGUGUCAUUGAUGAGGAAGCUUGACACCAGCAUCCCUAUGUCAAAGUGUUGUUCUGGAAGGGUUGGCUAUCACCAAACAGCCUCAGCACGGGUUCAAGAACUUUCAGUAGGAUCUAGUUCUGGAGGUGUGCUCACUGCUCUGAGCAAGGUCAGUCCCACAAGGACAUGGGGGGAUACUCCAAGAGAAGAGGAGUCCACUGUCAAAUGGUGGAAAAGGUUCUGUGUUGGUUCUUGCACUGGUCUCAUACAUGUGCUGCUAUCAAUGAGUUUUCUGAUUUAAUACAUUCUUCCUGUUCACACUUUCCUGAAUUUCUCCCCUUGCUUUCAGUUUGCACAAGGGAACAGCAUUUGUUGUUUGGUUUUAGAAUAUUUUCUCAACUGAAACAAGGAAUAGAUUUCCAUAUUUUUAUAUUUAUUUUAUAAUUUUCUGUUGUCAUUUAUUUUCUGCUUUUCUCUUUCCCUUUUCAUGGAUAAAUUGAAAGAAAAAAGGUGAGAUCAGGAGAGAAUGGCAGGGAAAAAUACAAGGAAAAAAUGAAGUGUGACAUUUUCACAAAGAAUUUUCUGAAAAUAUUAAUUAAAACCAUUUUAGAAAUGCUUCUGAUGGAAGAAGAAACAAUUACAUCAGACAGUAGCUUGUUUAUUAUUCACAAACCUAUUUGCAGAAAAAAAAAUCAAACCUGAUUUUAAAAGAUCGACAUUGUUUUUUGUCCCUUUUGAGGUUUGUGGAACUAUAUGCAUUUAAAAGUGUUUGCAGACACUUGUUUCCCUGUU
Passer domesticus (house sparrow) is the source of this 5298-nucleotide long non-coding RNA. RefSeq lists it as uncharacterized. NCBI's taxonomy places the organism in Eukaryota, Metazoa, Chordata, Aves, Passeriformes, Passeridae. The transcript has 5 exons. The record is from RefSeq and is a predicted model, not a curated record.